This 370-nucleotide long non-coding RNA is filed under the name Homo sapiens (human). RNAcentral describes it as "HSALNT0219052". Lineage: Eukaryota; Metazoa; Chordata; Mammalia; Primates; Hominidae. The record is from RNAcentral.
UUCCUCCAUUAAAAAAAUUUUACCUUGAUUAUUUAUUUUUUUUUUUUUUGAGACAGAGUCUUGCUCUGUUGCCCAGGCUGGCGUGUAGUGGCGCGAUCUCGGCUCACUGCAACCUCCGCCUCCCAGGUUCAAGCGAUUCUCCUGCCUCAGUCUCCCAAGUAGCUGGGAUUACAGGCAUGUGCCACCACGCCUGCUAAUUUUUGUAUUUUUAGUAGAGACAGAGUUUGACCAUGUUAGCCAGGAUGGUCUUGAUCUCGUGAUCCACCCACCUCAGCCUCCCAAAGUGCUGGGAUUAGAGGCGUGAGCCACUGCGCCCGGCUAAAAAAUUUUACCUUUUAAAUACCUUUAUUGUAGAGAAAAUACAAUUAGC